This 360-nucleotide unclassified non-coding RNA is filed under the name Hevea brasiliensis (rubber tree). The record is from RNAcentral. Lineage: Eukaryota; Viridiplantae; Streptophyta; Magnoliopsida; Malpighiales; Euphorbiaceae.
AGAUCGGUUGAGGCACGUGCUUUUGGUGGCGAGCCUCGCGUGUGGAGGCGCAGGCGCGGCGCUGCUAGUGGCUUCUGCUUUCAUAUAUUUUGUCAAGUAUAAAAAGACAAACGACGUCGUCCUCAAAUAACGGUAAAUCGAUCACCAUUCGCUAGUAUGUAAAACUAAAGUAGCUGUGCUUCUUUAAUCUUUGUAUUGUUUGUUUGUUUGUUUUUUGUUAGAUUUGUUUUUUUCACUGUUUUUUAUUUUUAUUUUUUUCCAUUUUAACUUAAUCCAAUGCAAUAUUUUUUAUGUAGUUUUUUUAUAUAUAAAUAUGUAAAUUUUAUUUAUUUAUUUUGAUAUUAUGAACCCUUAUUAGCA